Long non-coding RNA from Mastomys coucha (southern multimammate mouse), 448 nucleotides. RefSeq lists it as uncharacterized. The transcript is spliced from 2 exons. The record is from RefSeq and is a predicted model, not a curated record. Lineage: Eukaryota; Metazoa; Chordata; Mammalia; Rodentia; Muridae.
CUCGCUUCCGAAGUCCGAGUUGAUGGAAUCACAGUGUCGCUCGUACUCGCCCAGCAACGACAUGGCGGAGGCCGCAGCUCGGCGGGAGCCGCCUGCGUAUCCACGGCGGGUAGCCCCGGCCGCUUAGACCGCAGCCAGCGGCGUAGGUGGCCCUGCAGCCCAGUGAACUUCCAUGGUGGCGUCUGCCCCCUGACCCGGAAGCAGUUCUUAGUGUUUCCGGCUCGCUGAGGUUUUUCCUCCGCCUUCGCGUGCCCACUUGUUGCAGAUGCGUCCUGCACACAUUGAGCGAGCAUCGCUGGCUAUUCAACAUGAAGCAUUCCUGAAACAUCAGGUGCUAGACAUUCACCAUAUUUGAGAACACCGAAUGGGUGCUUCCGUCAAGACACCAAGGGAAUUGCAAUACAGUCAAUAAAGUUUCAUUAUUAUGUUACCUUAAACAACUUCCUAA